UCAUUGAUUUCUGCUCUAUUCUUAUUUUUUUUAUUCUUUUUUAAAUAAAAAUUUAAAUUUUGAGAUCAUUAUAGAUUCAUGUGCUGUUGUAAGAAAUAAUACAGACAGAAUCCAUGUACCCUUUACACAGUUCCCCCAAUACUGUAGUAACAUCUUGCAAAACUAUAGUACAAUAGCAUAGUAAAAUAUAGAACAUAUCCAUCACCACCGGAUUUCUCAUGUUGCCCUUUUAUUAUGCUUUUUGAUGCUUAAGUUGUUCAAACUUUGGCCAGUAGGAACCCUUUUGACUUCCCUGUGUCUUUUUAUGUAAUUACAUUAUCUUCAUUUUCUUGCUUUCUGGCAGAACGAGAUGUCUCAAAAUUACCUGUACUAUUUUACCAGAGACCUGGAAUCAGCUAUUUCUUCAAGGAACCUUUAAUAACCAAUGGCAUUUCAAAACAAUAUUCUGAUGGCCAGGGCAUCAUUUCUCCUGGGCACUUUCAAAGCAUAAAGAUGAAAAUGUUUACAUAUUUCAAAAUGUUUCUCCAUUAUAUUCCUGCAGUAAAUGUUACUGUCAAGAAACCUGAUGCCAACUUGAUUUUCUUCCUUUGUGAUUUUGGACCACGUGACUGCGUUACGGCCAAUGGGAAUGUGAAAGGAAGAGAUGUGCUACUUCCUGUCUGAGGCGGUUGAGUAGGUGAG
Aethalodelphis obliquidens (Pacific white-sided dolphin) is the source of this 681-nucleotide long non-coding RNA. RefSeq lists it as uncharacterized. The record is from RefSeq and is a predicted model, not a curated record. Lineage: Eukaryota; Metazoa; Chordata; Mammalia; Artiodactyla; Delphinidae. The transcript has 3 exons.